AACGAACGCUGGCGGCAUGCCUAACACAUGCAAGUCGAACGAGACCUUCGGGUCUAUUGGCGCACGGGUGCGUACGGCGUGGGAACCUGCCCGUAGGUUCGGAAUACCUCCCCGUGAGGGAUCCUAAUACCGGUGAAUCUCUUCCGACCAAAGAGUUAUCGCCUUUGGAUGGGCCCGCGUUGGAUUCGCUGGUUGGUAGGGUAAAAGCCUACCAAGGCGAGGAUCCAUAGCUGGUCUGAGAGGAUGAUCAGCCACACUGGGACUGAGACACGGACCAGACUCCUACGGGAGGGAGCAGAGGGGAAUAUUAUGCGCUGGGCGAAAGUCUGACAAAGCAAUGCCGGGUGAGUGAGGAAGGGGUUAGGGUUGUAAAGCCCUUUUAGACGGGGUGAUAAUGACGGUACCGGGAAAAUAAGCACCGGCUAACUACGUG
Molecule: ribosomal RNA, 433 nt
Filed under: uncultured bacterium
Lineage: Bacteria
Description: partial 16S ribosomal RNA
Rfam family: Bacterial small subunit ribosomal RNA
Source: RNAcentral